UUUUUUUUUCUUUUUCGGGCUGCACUUGUGGUGGUAUAUGACGUUCCCCGACUAGGGGUCAAAGUGGAGCUGCAGCUGGGUUCUACACCACAGCCAUGGCAAUGCUGGAUCCAAGUUGCACCUUUGACUUACGCCUCAAUUUGCAGCAACGCUGGACAUUUAACUCACUGAGCGAGGUCAGGGAUCAAACCUGCAUCCUCAUGGACAGGUGGGGUUCUUAACCUGUGGCGCCACAAUGGGAAGUCCUCUCUUUUCUUUGUAAAUGUCCUCCCUUGCAUUUUCUCUGUCUUCCUCCCUCCUUGCUUGCUUGCUUUUUCUUUCCUCUCUCUCCUAACUUUAUCAUUCACAACAUUCCAACAGACCUUAACAACAACAUUUAUGGAUGAUAUGUGCAAAAUAGCAUGAUUCCUCAUCUUUAUUCUCAGCUAAUAUUUGAAUCGUGCCAGUAACAAAUAAGAGUUGGACACUGUCGUCACAGACAAAAGCUAUGCUGGGCAUGGCAACCCUUUAUAACAGGCAUUCUGUUUCUUGAAGUAUCAGAUCAGCCAGCCAGAAUUAGUUUUUCCUUCUAAAUAUCAUCAGCGACCAACACCCUGCCUGAGUUACUCCUGCAUUACACAAAAACGUGCUAUUUAUUUCUCGAAAUUCAUCCUUCUCUUGAUCCUUUUGCUAAAUCCACCAGGAGGACAUCCUUUCUUCCACCCAAGCUCUAAAUACUGGAGUUCCCAGGCCUUGGUCCUUGCCACUCUUCUUUAUACAGAGCAUCUCAUUUUACUCCUAAGACUGGCAUUAUCACUACACAGCGUUUAUUUCUGAAUUUUUACGUCUAGAUUGGGCCUUUCUUUCAGACACAUAAAUGCAACUUCUCGCUCAAUAUUUCCUCAUAAAUGUCUCACAGAUACCCUAAUUUGACCUAUCUUGAAUCUAAAUGUUUGAGUUUUGUCCCCAAAUCUGCUUUCGUUCCACAGUUUCUGGUAAAUGCUCCUGGCAGCAGUCUUGCUUCACACUCCCUCCUCUUAGUUUAUAUCUGAUCAAGCACCGCAUUCCCAAUUUACAAAGAUUUAGAGAACAGUCAGAGGUUAUUUUUCUCACUUAAAAUAUCUGGAGGCAGGCACUGUUGGCACUGGACCAAUGGCUCAGCCAUAUCGGGGCCCAGUAUCCUUCCUUCUUGUUACCGCACGGCUGAGAGAGGGCUCUUUCUAUUCUGGACGCUACACAUCCAUGAAGAGGGCAGGAAUAAGAGGGAAAAGCAGCACUGCUCUCUACGUCUGCCUUCCUGACUUUCANNNNNNNNNNNNGAACGCAAAUGCUUCCCUAGAACUUUCUCCAUACCACGUUCCGCCACCUAGAACUUAUGGGGCCCCUUCUCCCUUGGCACUAAAGGGAGCCACGAAGAAGCAAAGAUGGAGAAGAGGAGGUCAGACAAUCUCCCCACGCAGAUGAGGCAGCGAUGGGACAGAUGUCAGGUGUGCUCUGAAAGAAGGUCUAUUUGUUUUUUGUUUAUUUGGUAAAGGCCUGGUGUUACGUCGCUUUCGCCUGUGCAAGAUACUCCCCAGUCUCCCACUAAAUCCACCCUCUGUCCUCUCCCCCUGCUCUCUGCCCUGGGAGUCUGACCACCACGGGGGCUCUGAGGGGUAGGGAGAGGGAAGCCAGCAGGAUUCCUGCGAGCAGCAAGAGAUGUCUGCCCUAGUUCCCUCCACACCACACCAGGGCUCCCAUCCCUGCUUUCCUUGGCUCCAGUUUCCGCCAGACAGCCCUGUCCUACAGCUGGCUUGCUUUUGGUUUCCAUAAUUAUUCGCUCCCCUUGCCUCGCAGGCCUCGGGAUGGUGGUGGCCCACCCUGCCCGUCCCCGCCCCUCUGUCUGGCCUGGGGGUCCGGAGCAUCCUGUGUCUGCUGCCCUAACCAGUGCUGCGCCCUUGUUAACAGCCCCUUCCCUCAACCCUCAGUCCUCCCUUUGGAGGGAGUCAUCUGUCUCCUGCCUGAGAGAGUAAUCAAUACUGUAACAUCCCCUUAUUCAUGUUAUUAAUGAUGACACCACAUCCCAUUCGGAAUGACACGAGAACUCCCGCUGCAUGUAGGCGUGGAAACCAGAGCAGCCUAUCGCCCGGCUGCUCAGGAGUAAGGGCUUCCAAGGCCAGGAACUGAACAAAAAUGCCUUUGAGGUUCCCUUUCCUCCCACUGACUUCUUCGCAGCCAGUGAACGGGUGGAAAAUGCAUCCUCCGAGGAAUCUGUCUUCACUUUAAAACAUUCACUAUCAAUUUUUUUCAUGCAGGAACACAAGCUUGUCAGAUGGGCUUGUGCACAGAAGAAGGAAAACAAGAGAUUUCGCAUGAAGCGGCAGUCACGAGAGGCAGCAGAGACUGGAGGAAGGACCUCACUCUCCUGACGCCCUUCAUUGCUAAGGGGCCAAUAAACUCCUAGGAUGUGUGUGCACAGAGGGACGGGCUCUUCUUCCAACUCCUCAGGAGCGGCAGGGUAUUCCUUUGGAAGCCCAUGCUUUCCAAAAUUUCCUCAAGUCGUCACAACAUUCCUCGCUCCUCUUGCCUGCAAAUUAGUUGACCCCUAAAACUAGCUGACCAUCUCUAGGUGGGGUUUUGUCCAGGACCUCACGCCCGUUCUGAAUCUGCUAGUGGGUUUGUCUCUACAAUUUGAUUUCUUUCUUCCCCAUUCUUUUAACAGUCUCCUGGGGGGAAAGGAGGGUUGAUCCUCGUAUUCGGGAUGUGAAUAUGCUAGAAACAGGGGAGACCAGGGACACGGAUGCAUUUGCAUAACACUGACUUUUUUCCUGCAGACACCACUGCCUCCAGCUAGUCGUUAGAUCUGGAUUUUAUGUUUUCUCCCCCCCCCAUGCUUUUUACAUUAUUGUUAAUGCCUACAUUUAAAAGUAAAAAAUAAGAAGGACAUAUCUGGAACUCCCAUUGCCUCAUCCUCUGGCUACUAGGCACCAGCCCCACCCCAUGUGCUAUUUGCUCCCCUUUCCCCAAAGUUUUAAACUUUAAUGUAAAACUCUGUGUUUUUGUGAUUACCCUAGAUAUAGCAGUGUAUAGUGUGGGGUUUUUUUUUGAGGGGGGAGGAUAGGAAUAAAAUAAUGCAUGGAGAAUCAUACAAAUGCUAUAAGGAGAAUUUUAAAAACAUAAUUAAUAUAAAAUAUUUUCAUAGGUUUCUCUGUCAAUGAAUAAAUAAAUUAUAUUUCCUUAAGGCAUUUAUUAGUAUGCUAAUGAAAAUUUCAGGAUACAGUACCGACAGUCAUAAUAAUGGAAUACAUGAGGCCAAUUAUACUGUUGCAUUCUUGCAUUAUCUUAGAUUUAAUUUAAAUGACUCACAGCCACAAAAGUAGAAAAAUUAAUGCACUGGUAUGAUAAAGUGCAGUUUUUUUAAAGCACAAAGGACUUUAUUAAGGAAGUGUGAAUAUUAUUUAUGAAUAGAGCAGGGUUAUCUUUCAAUAUCUGUAUCCCAUGAUCAGGGAGGACUUUAUUUUUUUAUCUUAUAACUUUUCUCAUGAUUCCUUUCCAGUCAAGUAUGACAGAUCAAGGAAUGCGAGAAGUUUGUGGAGCUGGAAGAAACGGUCAAGUACCUCUAAUCAACCCUCUUGUUUUACUUAUUGUAAACUGACUCAAGAGGUCAGUGGCUUGACCCCAGUCAUGCACUUGGCUGAGACCAGAGCCCAGGACAGUUUUCCUCAAAGUCAAGUCUAAUAAUUAUUAAUGUUGGCCAUACUUUGAGUGCUGGGAUAAAAUGUAGAUUCCUAAGACCCACUGCCAGACCUAUUAAGUUUCUAGGCCAGCAUCCAGAAAUCUACAUUUUUUAUAAAACUUCCCCAGGACAAGUCCUAUCCACAGUGAUGUUUCAGAACCACUUUCUGGAUGUGCGUUCACCUCACAGCUGUGUUUCCUGCACAGCCUGGGGAUUGGGGUGGGGGAACAGAGAAGACACCUAUAGUGUUAGUGGGGGCAUGGGGCAAGGGACAAGAGCCAUAGACUAACAUAGGAACAUUAACCCACAGGAUACAUAUCCCUUGAAGACUUGAGGGAAAUUUUGCUUUCAUGUUAAAGCAAAUAUUACAUAUAAAGUGGUAGUGAAAGACGUAUCACUAAUAAUGCAAACAUUGAGAUUAAACCAGAAGUCGGGCGAGAGGCGGAUUAUGAGGCUGAAAAUCCCAGCCAUCUAACCAUGCGACUAAUUUUUCCAGUGACCAGCCUUCAUCUUCCACCUGUCCACAGCCCUCCUGCUCAUUAGCAUAAACUCAGGCAUGGUUGAAAGGAGGUCUUGAUGAAUAAUAAGACACUCCUAUUAUUUAGGGAAUUUCAAGGGUUUUUGAAACUGUAUACCAGGAACCAGGAACAAAGAACAUACACACACACACACACACACACACACACACACAUAUACAUAUACAUAUACAUAUUUAUAUAUUUUACCAUAUAUAUUGAAAUAUAUAUAUUUUAUUAUGAUACCACAAUGUGGUAAAAUAUUUUUUUCCUACUGUACUUUAAAAAUGAAAAUAUUAAAAAAUGUCAAUGAGUCUAUAUCCUCUUUGACUUCAAUAUAGCCAUUGUAUGCAGACAAAUCUCACUUCAUCUCAUUUCCAGAUGAGGGACCACGCAUACACAAAUUUUUAGCUUAAUGCAUUUUGUUGUGUUUUGUUUUAAGCUCUUACUAGUUAGACUCCAUACACAAAUUUUUAGCUUAAAGCAUUUUGUUUUGUUUUAAGUUCUUACUAGUUAGACUCCUAUGCCUAGGCAGUAUCAGUCCCAUCCUUAAUGGAAAUUUUGAUUGUUUCAAAUUGGGCUUAAGAAUUAUUUUACUCAGAGUUCUCCAGAGAAACAGAACCAAUAUGAUAUAUUGGUUGACGGAGACUGAUUAUAAGAUCUUGGCUCACAUGGUUAUGGAGGCUGACAAGUCCUUGUGGUUUGCCCUUUAUGAGCUGAAGACCCAAGAAAACCACUGGUGUAAGUUCAAAGGCCUGGAAGCCAGAGAGUAGAUGGUGUAAUUGCCAGUCAAAGACUGAAGGCCUAAAACCUGGGGCACUGAGGGCAGAAGACUGCUACGCAUCUUGGUAGUUGGGCAGAAAGAGAGCAAACCCUCCUUCCCUGCAACUUUCUGUUCUAUUCCUGCCUGUGAUGAACUGCAUGAUGAACACUGGGAAGGCAAAUCCACUUCACUUAGUUUACCCAGUAAAAUACUAAUCUCUGCCAGAACCUCUCUCACAGACAGGCCCCCAAAGCUAACCAAGUUGAUACGUAACAUUAACCAUCACAAGAAUCACGGGCUAUUUUUAUAAGUUAGGACAUCGAUACUUUUUGGGAGAGAAUGUAACUCAUCAUGAGGACCUACAUGUCUGGAAUUAAAUGUCCAGCAUACCCACUAGACUAGGGGUUCAAUCGGAGCUACAGCUGUUGGCCUACACCAGAGCCACACCAACACAGGAUCCGAGCCACGUCUGCGACCUAUACCACAGCUCAUGGCAACGCCGGAUCCUUAAUCCACUGAGCAAGACCAGGGAUCUAACCUGUGUCCUCAUGGAUGCCAGUCAGAUUCAUUAAUCGCUGAGCCAUGACGGGAACUCCCUAGACAGUGAGAUCUUUUAAGAGCAAAGAAAGGAGCAGUUUAUUCUUAUAUCUCCAGAAUCUGACAGAUUACCUGGCACAUACUGAAUGUACAAUUAAUGUAUUUUUUGAAAAUAUAUACGAGCCUACUAAUUUAGAAACAAUGCAAAUAAUUACGUUGCUUUGGUACCCAGAGAUACAAAUUCAAAUAGCUAAAACAAAAUGAUAAUUGAUCCUCACACUUAGCACUUAGCUCUUCAAAGGUUAAUCGAAUUAAACUAGAAUAACUAAGUCUUGCAUUUUAGAUUCCAACUAAUAAUUAUCAUGACUACAUCCACAUUUGACAUCAAAUUAACAGGUGUUUUGACAUCUUAAAUGAUAAUCACAUUUUCGAAUCAACUAUGCAAUAACCCAAACUGCUAAAAGUGACCUGAAUUAGCAGAAUGAGUUUUAUCCAUCUUAGAAUCAUUUGUUUAUAAUAUUGUCUUGCUUUUGGUGUGUAAAAUGAUGGCCCACACAGUUUGAAUAUUUUACAACAGAUGUGAAACCACCUCAUUGACCAUACAAAGGAUCACUCAGGUUUCAACUGAACCAUUUGAUUUCUCCAAGUAUCUAUCUCUUCUAGAAUUAUUUUUGAAGAGUGAUUUAAGAUAAACCAAUUUGUUGCAGUAUUAAAUAGUCUCAAAAUAUAUCUUAAAUUGAUUUAGUGUCUGAGAUAGAAGCUUGAAAGAAAUAGCAAGCAAUGCAAUUUUUUAGUCACCCCAUGGCAUUUGGAGUCUCUGGGGCCAAGGGUCAGAGCCAAGCCGAAGUUGUGACUCAAGCCACAGCUGUGGCAACCCCAGACCCUUAACCUGCUGUGCAAGGCUGGGGAUCAAAACUGCAUCUCAGUGCUCCCAAGAUGCUACCAAUCCCAUUGUGCUGCAGCGGGAACUCCUAUCUGUGUUUCUUUUAGCUUGAAUAAUACGAGAUACAUAAGCAAGAGGCAUGCAGUUAAAUCUAAAAUAGUAACAAUGAAAAUGGAAUCAGUUACUGUUUACUGAGUGGUUGCUGUUUAACUUCUUAAGAUUUUGCCAAAUGGAUAUAAACUGGUACCUAAUUUAUGUAGUUGAGUGGUCAGAAUGAAAC
This 6672-nucleotide long non-coding RNA is filed under the name Sus scrofa (pig). Its description in RNAcentral is "lncRNA (ENSSSCG00005036808.1)". The record is from RNAcentral. Lineage: Eukaryota; Metazoa; Chordata; Mammalia; Artiodactyla; Suidae.